RNAcentral lists this ribosomal RNA (749 nucleotides) under Brachybacterium conglomeratum. RNAcentral's name for it is "bacterial SSU rRNA". It matches the Rfam family "Bacterial small subunit ribosomal RNA", at positions 71 to 833 of the family's 1533-position model. Lineage: Bacteria; Bacillati; Actinomycetota; Actinomycetes; Micrococcales; Dermabacteraceae. The record is from RNAcentral.
CGGCCGUGCUUGCACGGUCUGAUUAGUGGCGAACGGGUGAGUAACACGUGAGUAACCUGCCCUCCACUUCGGGAUAACCUCGGGAAAUCGUGGCUAAUACCGGAUAUGAGCAUCCAUCGCAUGGUGGGUGCUGGAAAGAUUUAUCGGUGGGGGAUGGACUCGCGGCCUAUCAGUUUGUUGGUGAGGUGAUGGCUCACCAAGACGAUGACGGGUAGCCGGCCUGAGAGGGCGACCGGCCACACUGGGACUGAGACACGGCCCAGACUCCUACGGGAGGCAGCAGUGGGGAAUAUUGCACAAUGGGCGAAAGCCUGAUGCAGCGACGCCGCGUGAGGGAUGACGGCCUUCGGGUUGUAAACCUCUUUCAGUAGGGAAGAAGCGAAAGUGACGGUACCUGCAGAAGAAGCGCCGGCUAACUACGUGCCAGCAGCCGCGGUAAUACGUAGGGCGCAAGCGUUGUCCGGAAUUAUUGGGCGUAAAGAGCUUGUAGGUGGCUUGUCGCGUCUGCCGUGAAAACCCGAGGCUCAACCUCGGGCGUGCGGUGGGUACGGGCAGGCUAGAGUGUGGUAGGGGAGACUGGAACUCCUGGUGUAGCGGUGAAAUGCGCAGAUAUCAGGAAGAACACCGAUGGCGAAGGCAGGUCUCUGGGCCAUUACUGACACUGAGAAGCGAAAGCAUGGGUAGCGAACAGGAUUAGAUACCCUGGUAGUCCAUGCCGUAAACGUUGGGCACUAGGUGUGGGGGACAUU